Microcebus murinus (gray mouse lemur) is the source of this 1027-nucleotide non-coding RNA. The record is from RefSeq and is a predicted model, not a curated record. NCBI's taxonomy places the organism in Eukaryota, Metazoa, Chordata, Mammalia, Primates, Cheirogaleidae.
AUGGAGGCCAGGACUCCCGCGCACGCUGAAGAUGGCGGCAGCAGUGUGCAGGUUGCUCCGGGCCUCGGUUGCUCGACAGAAAUUGUUGCUUUUAGCGACAAAGCCAAUGAAUUUCGGGACGUGAACUGUGAAGUUGUUGCAGUGUCAGUGGAUUCCCACUUUAGUCAUCUUGCCUGGAUAAAUACACCAAGGAAGAAUGGUGGUUUGGGCCACAUGAACAUCGCGCUCUUGUCAGAUUUAACCAAACAAAUUUCCCGAGACUACGGUGUGCUGUUAGAAGGUCCUGGUCUUGCACUCAGAGGUCUCUUCAUAAUUGAUCCCAAUGGCGUCAUCAAACAUCUCAGUGUCAAUGACCUCCCAGUGGGCCGCAGUGUGGAAGAGACCCUCCGCUUGGUGAAGGCAUUCCAGUUUGUGGAAAUUCAUGGAGAAGUCUGCCCAGCAAACUGGACACCGGAUUCUCCUACAAUCAAGCCAAAUCCAACUGCUUCCAAAGAGUACUUUGAGAAGGUAAACCAGUAGAUCGCCCCAUGUGUACCUGCAGCUUCUCACACCAGAGAAGAACCACAGUUGGAACCUGCUUUUAGCAUUUAAGAGAUGAUUGUUUGUAGAAGGCAAAGAAUCAAUUAUGCUUAUAUUCAUAAAUACUACUCUUUUGUUUUUGUAAUACUGGCUAAGACUUUUUAAAUGUGGUUAGUUAUUAGUAUUAUAAAGAGUUCUUUAUUGGUAACAUCUUGAUGGCUAGCUAGCUAGUUUCUACAGAAUGCCUUGUUCACCUAUUUCUUAGAUCAUGUCUUCAAAGGGUAAAAGAAACACUCUUUUUGCUUAGCCUUAUUUAAACCUUUGUCUACACCAAAGUAGUACAACAAGUAUCAAAAGCCUCUGAUCAAGGGUCCUGAAAUUUUGUUUUUAAAUUUCUUUGUAUUACACUGAAUCUUCUUUUAAGGUAACAAGGAUCACAGUUUUAAGUUGUUAGCAUCAGCAGUCUAACUUAACAUCUCCCAAUGGAUGUAUGUGUGAUUGAAGAAAA